Molecule: ribosomal RNA, 188 nt
Filed under: Sporoschismopsis angustata
Lineage: Eukaryota; Fungi; Ascomycota; Sordariomycetes; Glomerellales; Reticulascaceae
Description: 5.8S ribosomal RNA
Rfam family: 5.8S ribosomal RNA (bases 3-156)
About the family: 5.8S ribosomal RNA (5.8S rRNA) is a component of the large subunit of the eukaryotic ribosome.
Source: RNAcentral
AAAACUUUCAACAACGGAUCUCUUGGCUCUGGCAUCGAUGAAGAACGCAGCGAAAUGCGAUAAGUAAUGUGAAUUGCAGAAUUCAGUGAAUCAUCGAAUCUUUGAACGCACAUUGCGCCCGCUAGUAUUCUGGCGGGCAUGCCUGUUCGAGCGUCAUUUCAACCCUCAAGCUCAGCUUGGUGUUGGGG